AACGUAGGACGCGAGCGUUAUCCGGAGUUACUGGGCGUAAAGCGCGGGCAGGCGGUCUGACAAGUCUGAUGUGAAAUCUCCGGGCUUAACCGGGAGAGGCCAUUGGAAACUGACAGGCUGGAGGGCAGUAGAGGUAGGCGGAAUUCCGGGUGGAGUGGUGAAAUGCGUAGAGAUCCGGAAGAACACCGGUGGCGAAGGCGGCCUGCUGGGCAGUGGCUGACACUGAGGCGCGACAGCGUGGGGAGCAAACAGG
This 253-nucleotide ribosomal RNA is filed under the name uncultured bacterium. Its description in RNAcentral is "partial 16S ribosomal RNA". It matches the Rfam family "Bacterial small subunit ribosomal RNA", at positions 524 to 776 of the family's 1533-position model. The record is from RNAcentral.